Molecule: long non-coding RNA, 221 nt
Filed under: Homo sapiens (human)
Lineage: Eukaryota; Metazoa; Chordata; Mammalia; Primates; Hominidae
Description: HSALNT0163852
Source: RNAcentral
AUGAGAAAGAGUAGUACAAUGAACCAGGGAAGGGACUCUAGGGAAUACCAGAGCUUAAGGGACAGAUAGAAGACAGGGAGAAGGUGGCAGAAAAGAAGCCUGCACUCCAGGUUAGAGGAAGGAAGAGCCAUGCAUUCAGGAUCCCUCUGGGGAUGGUGAACCCGUGUUCGACUGCAAGGGUAAAUGAAUUUUCAGCAAAUGUUGCAGGUUCCCAAUUAUUA